This 392-nucleotide ribosomal RNA is filed under the name uncultured Gammaproteobacteria bacterium. RNAcentral's name for it is "bacterial SSU rRNA". It matches the Rfam family "Bacterial small subunit ribosomal RNA", at positions 370 to 779 of the family's 1533-position model. The record is from RNAcentral. Lineage: Bacteria; Pseudomonadati; Pseudomonadota; Gammaproteobacteria.
AAUGGAGGAAACUCUGAUGCAGCGAUGCCGCGUGAGUGAAGAAGGCCUUUGGGUUGUAAAGCUCUUUCGUCGGGGAAGAAAAUGACUGUACCCGAAUAAGAAGGUCCGGCUAACUUCGUGCCAGCAGCCGCGGUAAUACGAAGGGACCUAGCGUAGUUCGGAAUUACUGGGCUUAAAGAGUUCGUAGGUGGUUGAAAAAGUUAGUGGUGAAAUCCCAGAGCUUAACUCUGGAACAGCCAUUAAAACUUUUCAGCUAGAGUAUGAUAGAGGAAAGCAGAAUUUCUAGUGUAGAGGUGAAAUUCGUAGAUAUUAGAAAGAAUACCAAUUGCGAAGGCAGCUUUCUGGAUCAUUACUGACACUGAGGAACGAAAGCAUGGGUAGCGAAGAGGAUU